UAUUGGUCAAUGGACGCAAGUCUGAACCAGCCAUGCCGCGUGGAGGAUGAAGGUCCUCUGGAUUGUAAACUUCUUUUAUCUGGGACGAAACACUUCUUUUCUAAGAGGCCUGACGGUACCAGAUGAAUAAGCACCGGCUAACUCCGUGCCAGCAGCCGCGGUAAUACGGAGGGUGCAAGCGUUAGCCGGAUUCACUGGGUUUAAAGGGUGCGUAGGUGGGUAUGUAAGUCAGUGGUGAAAUCCGCGAGCUUAACUUGGGAACUGCCAUUGAUACUAUAUAUCUUGAAUACCGUAGAGGUAAGCGGAAUAUGUCAUGUAGCGGUGAAAUGCUUAGAUAUGACAUGGAACACCAAUUGCGAAGGCAGCUUACUAGGCGGUGAUUGACACUGAGGCACGAAAGCGUUGGUAGCAAACA
This 415-nucleotide ribosomal RNA is filed under the name uncultured bacterium. Its description in RNAcentral is "bacterial SSU rRNA". It matches the Rfam family "Bacterial small subunit ribosomal RNA", at positions 362 to 774 of the family's 1533-position model. The record is from RNAcentral.